CAUAGAUUAUUACAUACCCACUAUAGUUAUUUAUUAUUGAAAUUAAAUAUCCGGUCGAUGGUUAAACUCAACUGUCAGCGAGUCGUUCGAAAUAUGAAUUUUUUACCGUCAUCAUUAUUAAAAUCAUUCGUCUAUGGAUGUGCACUCGUGCGGUCAGAACAAUUGAAAGUGUAAAAAUGAUGGUCUCGUUUUAUUAAUUACUCAUUGUACUACCGGUUGAUAUCUAUUUGGUUUCGACUGGUUAGACGGAAAAAAACAAUACAUUUCUUGUUAUUCGAAAACAAUCAUUAUUUAUUUUAGACUCCGAGUGU
This is a non-coding RNA of Cinara cedri, 311 nucleotides long. NCBI's taxonomy places the organism in Eukaryota, Metazoa, Arthropoda, Insecta, Hemiptera, Aphididae. The record is from the annotation of a GenBank genome assembly.